GAUGAACGCUGGCGGCGUGCCUAAUACAUGCAAGUCGAGCGAACAGACGAGGAGCUUGCUCCUCUGACGUUAGCGGCGGACGGGUGAGUAACACGUGGAUAACCUACCUAUAAGACUGGGAUAACUUCGGGAAACCGGAGCUAAUACCGGAUAAUAUAUUGAACCGCAUGGUUCAAUAGUGAAAGACGGUUUUGCUGUCACUUAUAGAUGUAUCCGCGCCGCAUUAGCUAGUUGGUAAGGUAACGGCUUACCAAGGCGACGAUGCGUAGCCGACCUGAGAGCGUGAUCGGCCACACUGGAACUGAGACACGGUCCAGACUCCUACGGGAGGCAGCAGUAGGGAAUCUUACGCAAUGGGCGAAAGCCUGACGGAGCAACGCCGCGUGAGUGAUGAAGGUCUUCGGAUCGUAAAACUCUGUUAUUAGGGAAGAACAAAUGUGUAAGUAACUAUGCACGUCUUGACGGUACCUAAUCAGAAAGCCACGGCUAACUACGUG
RNAcentral lists this ribosomal RNA (497 nucleotides) under uncultured bacterium. RNAcentral describes it as "partial 16S ribosomal RNA". It matches the Rfam family "Bacterial small subunit ribosomal RNA", at positions 28 to 507 of the family's 1533-position model. The record is from RNAcentral.